Molecule: ribosomal RNA, 253 nt
Filed under: uncultured bacterium
Lineage: Bacteria
Description: partial 16S ribosomal RNA
Rfam family: Bacterial small subunit ribosomal RNA
Source: RNAcentral
UACGUAGGGGGCGAGCGUUGUCCGGAGUUACUGGGCGUAAAGCGCACGCAGGCGGUCUUUUAAGUUUGGAGUGACAGUUGGUGGCUUAACUGCCAAAGUGCUUCGAAAACUGAAAGACUUGAGGGCUUCAGAGGGACACGGAAUUCCGGGUGGAGUGGUGAAAUGCGCAGAUAUCAGGAGGAACACCAAUGGCGAAGGCAGCUCGCUGGGACGGUACUGACGCUGAGACGCGAAAGCGUGGGGAGCAAACAGG